AGAGUUUGAUCCUGGCUCAGAUUGAACGCUGGCGGAAUGCUUUACACAUGCAAGUCGAGCGGCAGCGCGGGGGCAACCCUGGCGGCGAGCGGCGAACGGGUGAGUAAUGUAUCGGAACGUACCCAGUCGUGGGGGAUAACACAGCGAAAGCUGUGCUAAUACCGCAUACGUCCUGAGGGAGAAAGCGGGGGACCUGUAAGGGCCUCGCGCGAUUGGAGCGGCCGAUAUCGGAUUAGCUAGUUGGUGAGGUAAAGGCUCACCAAGGCGACGAUCCGUAGCUGGUCUGAGAGGACGACCAGCCACACUGGAACUGAGACACGGUCCAGACUCCUACGGGAGGCAGCAGUGGGGAAUUUUGGACAAUGGGGGAAACCCUGAUCCAGCCAUUCCGCGUGAGUGAAGAAGGCCUUCGGGUUGUAAAGCUCUUUCAGCAGGAACGAAACGGUAAGCUUUAAUAAAGUUUGCUAAUGACGGUACCUGAAGAAGAAGCACCGGCUAACUACGUGCCAGCAGCCGCGGUAAUACGUAGGGUGCGAGCGUUAAUCGGAAUUACUGGGCGUAAAGCGUGCGCAGGCGGUCUUGUAAGACAGAUGUGAAAUCCCCGGGCUUAACCUGGGAACUGCGUUUGUGACUGCAAGACUAGAGUGUGGCAGAGG
Molecule: ribosomal RNA, 656 nt
Filed under: uncultured bacterium
Lineage: Bacteria
Description: bacterial SSU rRNA
Rfam family: Bacterial small subunit ribosomal RNA
Source: RNAcentral